AUCAGUGUGUGUGUUAGUGGAAGCGUCUGGAAAGGCGCGCGAUACAGGGUGACAGCCCCGUACACAAAAAUGCACAUGCUGUGAGCUCGAUGAGUAGGGCGGGACACGUGGUAUCCUGUCUGAAUAUGGGGGGACCAUCCUCCAAGGCUAAAUACUCCUGACUGACCGAUAGUGAACCAGUACCGUGAGGGAAAGGCGAAAAGAACCCCGGCGAGGGGAGUGAAAAAGAACCUGAAACCGUGUACGUACAAGCAGUGGGAGCACGCUUAGGCGUGUGACUGCGUACCUUUUGUAUAAUGGGUCAGCGACUUAUAUUCUGUAGCAAGGUUAACCGAAUAGGGGAGCCGAAGGGAAACCGAGUCUUAACUGGGCGUUAAGUUGCAGGGUAUAGACCCGAAACCCGGUGAUCUAGCCAUGGGCAGGUUGAAGGUUGGGUAACACUAACUGGAGGACCGAACCGACUAAUGUUGAAAAAUUAGCGGAUGACUUGUGGCUGGGGGUGAAAGGCCAAUCAAACCGGGAGAUAGCUGGUUCUCCCCGAAAGCUAUUUAGGUAGCGCCUCGUGAAUUCAUCUCCGGGGGUAGAGCACUGUUUCGGCAAGGGGGUCAUCCCGACUUACCAACCCGAUGCAAACUGCGAAUACCGGAGAAUGUUAUCACGGGAGACACACGGCGGGUGCUAACGUCCGUCGUGAAGAGGGAAACAACCCAGACCGCCAGCUAAGGUCCCAAAGUCAUGGUUAAGUGGGAAACGAUGUGGGAAGGCCCAGACAGCCAGGAUGUUGGCUUAGAAGCAGCCAUCAUUUAAAGAAAGCGUAAUAGCUCACUGGUCGAGUCGGCCUGCGCGGAAGAUGUAACGGGGCUAAACCAUGCACCGAAGCUGCGGCAGCGACACUGUGUGUUGUUGGGUAGGGGAGCGUUCUGUAAGCCUGCGAAGGUGUGCUGUGAGGCAUGCUGGAGGUAUCAGAAGUGCGAAUGCUGACAUAAGUAACGAUAAAGCGGGUGAAAAGCCCGCUCGCCGGAAGACCAAGGGUUCCUGUCCAACGUUAAUCGGGGCAGGGUGAGUCGACCCCUAAGGCGAGGCCGAAAGGCGUAGUCGAUGGGAAACAGGUUAAUAUUCCUGUACUUGGUGUUACUGCGAAGGGGGGACGGAGAAGGCUAUGUUGGCCGGGCGACGGUUGUCCCGGUUUAAGCGUGUAGGCUGGUUUUCCAGGCAAAUCCGGAAAAUCAAGGCUGAGGCGUGAUGACGAGGCACUACGGUGCUGAAGCAACAAAUGCCCUGCUUCCAGGAAAAGCCUCUAAGCAUCAGGUAACAUCAAAUCGUACCCCAAACCGACACAGGUGGUCAGGUAGAGAAUACCAAGGCGCUUGAGAGAACUCGGGUGAAGGAACUAGGCAAAAUGGUGCCGUAACUUCGGGAGAAGGCACGCUGAUACGUAGGUGAAGUCCCUCGCGGAUGGAGCUGAAAUCAGUCGAAGAUACCAGCUGGCUGCAACUGUUUAUUAAAAACACAGCACUGUGCAAACACGAAAGUGGACGUAUACGGUGUGACGCCUGCCCGGUGCCGGAAGGUUAAUUGAUGGGGUCAGCGCAAGCGAAGCUCUUGAUCGAAGCCCCGGUAAACGGCGGCCGUAACUAUAACGGUCCUAAGGUAGCGAAAUUCCUUGUCGGGUAAGUUCCGACCUGCACGAAUGGCGUAAUGAUGGCCAGGCUGUCUCCACCCGAGACUCAGUGAAAUUGAACUCGCUGUGAAGAUGCAGUGUACCCGCGGCAAGACGGAAAGACCCCGUGAACCUUUACUAUAGCUUGACACUGAACAUUGAGCCUUGAUGUGUAGGAUAGGUGGGAGGCUUUGAAGUGUGGACGCCAGUCUGCAUGGAGCCGACCUUGAAAUACCACC
RNAcentral lists this ribosomal RNA (1899 nucleotides) under Escherichia coli. RNAcentral's name for it is "partial 23S ribosomal RNA". It matches the Rfam family "Bacterial large subunit ribosomal RNA", at positions 316 to 2204 of the family's 2925-position model. The record is from RNAcentral. Lineage: Bacteria; Pseudomonadati; Pseudomonadota; Gammaproteobacteria; Enterobacterales; Enterobacteriaceae.